CAAAAACAUAGCCAAUAGAAAAAAUUAUUGUUGGUGAUGCCUGCUCAAUGAUUAAAUAAUAACCAAUAAAAACAAUUAAAUAGCUGCGGUAACACCUGACCGUACAAAGGUAGCAUAAUAAAUCGCCUACUAAUUAUAGGAUAGAAUGAAGGUAAAACGAAAAUCCAACUGUCUCAAGAUUAUAAAAUUUAAAAUAGAAUGUGUGUGCAAAUCCACACCAAGACGGCAAGACGAUAAGACCCUAGGAACUUUACUGAAAACUUAAUUAAACAAACAAUAAGUCGUAAGUUUCGUUGGGGCAACGAUCUUUAAAAAAGUAACUAAGAUUAAAUAAUCACGAACCACAAUUUCAUUCAAAUAUAUAAGAUAAGACCCAUUAAAAAAAAAAAUUAAUGAUAACAUAAUAAAAGUUCCCUAGGGAUAACAGCGUUAUAUCGUUUCAAGAGAACCAUCC
RNAcentral lists this ribosomal RNA (454 nucleotides) under Bathydorus spinosus. RNAcentral describes it as "partial 16S ribosomal RNA". It matches the Rfam family "Bacterial large subunit ribosomal RNA", at positions 1808 to 2507 of the family's 2925-position model. Lineage: Eukaryota; Metazoa; Porifera; Hexactinellida; Lyssacinosida; Rossellidae. The record is from RNAcentral.